AAUCCUCAAAACCCCUCUUCUUUGAGGAUUUUUGGACUUGGAGGUUUAAUGCUCGCUUUCGUGUUCGAAAGCGAGCUCCUCUCAAAAGAAUCAGUGGGGUCUGCUUUGCCGGUCCUUGACGUGAUAAGAUGUUUCUACGUUUUGGAUUUGGCAUCGUCCCUGCUCCUAAUCGUCCCAUGGACGACGGAUGGUGCUUCGGUCACCGCCUACCUACGUUGGCGGAAGGCUGGACCCACGAAACGAA
Molecule: unclassified non-coding RNA, 244 nt
Filed under: uncultured Russula
Lineage: Eukaryota; Fungi; Basidiomycota; Agaricomycetes; Russulales; Russulaceae
Description: sequence contains ITS2
Source: RNAcentral